Molecule: ribosomal RNA, 424 nt
Filed under: uncultured bacterium
Lineage: Bacteria
Description: bacterial SSU rRNA
Rfam family: Bacterial small subunit ribosomal RNA
Source: RNAcentral
GGGGAAUUUUGCGCAAUGGGCGAAAGCCUGACGCAGCGACGCCGCGUGGGUGAUGAAGGCCUUCGGGUUGUAAAGCCCUGUGGGGAGGGAAGAAUAAAGCGAGACGAAUAGGCUCGUGGAUGACGGUACCUCCUUAGCAAGCACCGGCUAACUCUGUGCCAGCAGCCGCGGUAAGACAGAGGGUGCAAACGUUGUUCGGAAUUACUGGGCGUAAAGCGCGUGUAGGCGGCAACGCAAGUCGGGUGUGAAAGCCCUGGGCUCAACCUAGGAAGUGCACUCGAAACUGCGUAGCUUGAGUCUCGGAGAGGAUGGUGGAAUUCUCGGUGUAGAGGUGAAAUUCGUAGAUAUCGAGAGGAACACCCGUGGCGAAGGCGGCCAUCUGGACGAAGACUGACGCUGAGACGCGAAAGCAUGGGGAGCAAAC